This is a long non-coding RNA of Platichthys flesus (European flounder), 468 nucleotides long. RefSeq lists it as uncharacterized. The record is from RefSeq and is a predicted model, not a curated record. Lineage: Eukaryota; Metazoa; Chordata; Actinopteri; Pleuronectiformes; Pleuronectidae. The transcript is spliced from 3 exons.
GAGGAAGACGGGGAACAGGUCGUCCAUGGACCACAGGAAGUCUUGCUUCAGCAGGGACUGGACCUCCUGUGUGAUCUCCUCGAAGGGUUUCCACUGCAGAGGCAAAGCAGGCGUCUUUGGUGCUGGAGAGAACCUGUCAGAUACACAAGGGAAGUUAAUACUUAGAAAACCAACAAAUAUUCUACAUUUGAGGAGCUGGAAAUAGAAACUUCUAAAGCUUGAGCUGAAUGCCAACUUCUGUUUGAGACUUCCUAGAUUAAUUGUGUUAUUGUAUAUGAAUAACCUCGUUUUUUGUUGUUGAACAAUCAAAACGUACCUGCUGCUUCUCCCCCAGUGCAGGAACGGAGACAGAAAUGGAAACAGGCCAGAACUUUCUGAGUGUGGCACGCACUGCUGGACGCCCAGGAAGGCAAGGAGGGCGAGGUCGGCCUGCUUGUUGAGGCGCAGGACGCAAUCCCAGUAGACGCC